This 429-nucleotide ribosomal RNA is filed under the name Pseudomonadota bacterium. Its description in RNAcentral is "Proteobacteria bacterium partial 16S ribosomal RNA". It matches the Rfam family "Bacterial small subunit ribosomal RNA", at positions 355 to 776 of the family's 1533-position model. The record is from RNAcentral. Lineage: Bacteria; Pseudomonadati; Pseudomonadota.
UGGGGAAUAUCGGACAAUGGGCGAAAGCCUGAUCCAGCCAUGCCGCGUGUGUGAAGAAGGUCUUCGGAUUGUAAAGCACUUUAAGUUGGGAGGAAGGGCAGUAAGCGAAUACCUUGCUGUUUUGACGUUACCGACAGAAUAAGCACCGGCUAACUCUGUGCCAGCAGCCGCGGUAAUACAGAGGGUGCAAGCGUUAAUCGGAAUUACUGGGCGUAAAGCGCGCGUAGGUGGUUCGUUAAGUUGAAUGUGAAAGCCCCGGGCUCAACCUGGGAACUGCAUCCAAAACUGGCGAGCUAGAGUAGGGCAGAGGGUGGUGGAAUUUCCUGUGUAGCGGUGAAAUGCGUAGAUAUAGGAAGGAACACCAGUGGCGAAGGCGACCACCUGGGCUCAUACUGACACUGAGGUGCGAAAGCGUGGGGAGCAAACGGG